UACGGGGGGGGCAAGCGUUGUUCGGAAUUACUGGGCGUAAAGGGUUCGUAGGUGGCCAACUAAGUCAGACGUGAAAUCCCUCAGCUUAACUGGGGAACUGCGUCUGAUACUGGUCGGCUUGAGUGCAGGAGAGGAACGCGGAAUUCCCGGUGUAGCAGUGAAAUGCGUAGAGAUCGGGAGGAACACCAGUGGCGAAGGCGGCUACCUGGACCAGCACUGACACUGAAGCACGAAAGCGUGGGGAGCAAACAGG
RNAcentral lists this ribosomal RNA (253 nucleotides) under uncultured bacterium. RNAcentral describes it as "partial 16S ribosomal RNA". It matches the Rfam family "Bacterial small subunit ribosomal RNA", at positions 524 to 776 of the family's 1533-position model. The record is from RNAcentral.